AUUUAUGUAUACUGUCAAGUUUGUCCACCUACAGCUCUCACAUGAUAUUAGAGCAUAUCGCCAACAAAAGCAGACAUGUUUCGUAUGUUCUCCCCACAUAAUCUAACCUCUUCGAAGAUAAACCGUUGUUUCAAAGUACAUUCAACUGCUACACCUAGUCACACUUCAUCAUCUGACGGCAAACAACUCAUCAGAAGACAUAUCAUCAGAUUUGUUCACUAAGGUUGCAUGACUAAUGCAUGCUAAUUUUGUACAACCAAAUGCUUAGUCAGGAGCCUACCCAAAAACCAAGUUCAGUAUACACAUUAGCACUACUGAUCCUACCGAAACUAGCAGGUUCAUUUGCAACCACACAUUUAGCUAGCUCU
RNAcentral lists this long non-coding RNA (368 nucleotides) under Eucalyptus grandis. RNAcentral's name for it is "long non-coding RNA (EGRA_LNC006941)". The record is from RNAcentral. Lineage: Eukaryota; Viridiplantae; Streptophyta; Magnoliopsida; Myrtales; Myrtaceae.